Non-coding RNA from Peromyscus maniculatus bairdii (prairie deer mouse), 1305 nucleotides. The record is from RefSeq and is a predicted model, not a curated record. NCBI's taxonomy places the organism in Eukaryota, Metazoa, Chordata, Mammalia, Rodentia, Cricetidae.
GUGUUGCCAAAUAAGCCUAGACAUCUGAUAUUUAUCCAAAUUGUGUCUGAAAACAAUGAAAUUUGUGAACAUCUUUAAGAUUUCUGCAAGUUUUGUAGCUUUGGAUUUUUCUAGAAGACCCUGGGAGCACACUGGUUCCUAACCUGUGACAGGCCUCCGAGAGUACCCAUGUAACUGUGGUGACCUCCCCACGCCUUGCUCCUCAGGGUGUGUGUGGUGUAUGUUGAGUUAUGGCUGUUGCUGGGUGGAGACUGUUUCUAGUCUAACCCUCCGUUAGCAAGGCCAUGCUAACUGCUUAUGCUGCACACCCAGGUUCCUUGUGGUUGACUAUUACAGCAACGUAGUGUUUGCUCACGUUGGGCCUACGGAAGCCUUCAGGACUGAGAUGAGAAAAUUGUCUCUGCUGGGGCCUGGGUAGAUGGCUUCAGACCCAAGGACCAGCGUUCAAAAUUCAGAGCCCACGUAAAAAAUCUAAGUAUUGUGAUGUAUACCUUAAACACAAAGACAGGGGUCAGGCUGUCCUCCUGAGCUGGUGAGUUCCGGGUUCUAGAAUACACCUUCUCUCAAAAAACAAGGUUGGGAAGCAACUGAGGGAGCUCUUCCCCACCAGCCUCUGGUAACCACAUGUGCUCACACACAUGUGUUCACACACAUGUACACACACACGAGUUGACUAAGGGGCUGGAGAGAGGCUCAGAAGGUGUGCUGCUCUUCCAGAGGGCUCGCAUUUGUUUCACAACUCCCUGCAAUUCCAGCUCCAGGAGACCUGAUGCUCUUUUCUAGUCUCCACAGGCCUCUUACACACACAGUAGACACACACACACCUGGCACCCUCGCGCGCGCGCGCACACGUACACACACAAAAUCAAAUCUAAAAACAUUUAAAAUUAAUUUUAAGAAAGAGAAAAAGGUCCCUUCUGAGAAACUACCUUUCAGCUACUACCCACCAAGGAACAGAGUGCAGAUGUUCAGUAGCAGGGGCAGUCUCUGCCACACCUGAGUGUGACAUUGAACUCUGAAGCCCUGGUCCUCAUGAUGUGUGUACUUGACUGCUAAACUGAAGACAGCUGUGAAGAUAGAUCCAGCAGUAGCAACAGACCUUCAGCUGGCUGAGGCCAGGUAGGGUCCUCAGUAAACAGGACCCACCUCUGAAGUCUCUCCAAAUUGCAAGAAUAAAUCCAUUGCUUUGUGGAUCAAAAAGUUCAAAAUCUCUGACUUGAUUCUCUGCAGUAGGAGUUCAGCAUCCCAGAUGUUGUUUUUGUUUGAGUACAAUCUGAACUGUAUUAAAAACUACCUACUGCUGUG